RNAcentral lists this unclassified non-coding RNA (303 nucleotides) under plant metagenome. Its description in RNAcentral is "partial contains 5.8S ribosomal RNA, internal transcribed spacer 2, and large subunit ribosomal RNA". The stretch from base 1 to 105 matches the Rfam family "5.8S ribosomal RNA", at positions 50 to 154 of the family's 154-position model. The record is from RNAcentral.
GAAAUGCGAUAAGUAAUGUGAAUUGCAGAAUUCAGUGAAUCAUCGAAUCUUUGAACGCACAUUGCGCCCGCCAGUAUUCUGGCGUGCAUGCCUGUUCGAGCGUCAUUUCAACCAUCAAGCCCCGCGCUUGUGUUGGGGACCUGCGGCUGCCGCAGGCCCUGAAAACCAGUGGCGGGCUCGCUGUCACACCGGGCGUAGUAGAUUUUAUCUCGCUCAGGGCGUGCUGCGGGUUCCGGCCGUUAAAAAGCCUUUUUUACCCAAGGUUGACCUCGGAUCAGGUAGGAAGACCCGCUGAACUUAAGC